Molecule: ribosomal RNA, 274 nt
Filed under: uncultured bacterium
Lineage: Bacteria
Description: partial 16S ribosomal RNA
Rfam family: Bacterial small subunit ribosomal RNA
Source: RNAcentral
CUACGGAGGGUGCGAGCGUUAAUCGGAAUUACUGGGCGUAAAGCGUGCGUAGGCGGUUUGCUAAGUCAGAUGUGAAAGCCCCGGGCUUAACCUGGGAACUGCAUUUGAUACUGGCAGACUAGAGUAUGAUAGAGGGGGGUAGAAUUCCUGGUGUAGCGGUGAAAUGCGUAGAUAUCAGGAGGAAUACCAGUGGCGAAGGCGGCCCCCUGGAUCAAUACUGACGCUGAGGUACGAAAGCGUGGGGAGCGAACAGGAUUAGAAACCCUAGUAGUCC